GCCGGGCCGGCGGGCGGAGGGGCCGCGAGGACCUGCGCGGGGCUGCAGCGGGGAUGGCCGCAGGCCACAGGCGCGCCCCCGGCUCUGCUCGCGGCUGUCACCGGGACCCGCGCGUGUCCUGCGGGAUUGGAAUAGGGGAGGGUGGGGAGAAAAGGCGCGACCCAGCAGCUGCCACCCUCGAGAGACCCCAGCUCUGCGCGUGGUCUCCCGCAGAUUUAGUGUCACCUUCCUGCCCUGUCCCCCCCUCCCCCCGUCUGUGUGCGGGUGCUGAGGCGGGUGGGCAGGCGGUUCCCAGGUUGUGGGAUGAGCAGUCCCGUUACCGCCCGCUCUUUGAUACGGGUCGCAGGUCAGUUCCCGAAACUGCUCCGAGAAAAACCCUCACAACUUUUCCUCCUUGUGCAGAACUUUUUCAAUUCGAAAUACUCUGCUUUCCCCUGUGCUACGAACUGCUAGAAGUCUGCAUAUUAAUGUAAAAACUCUCUCCAAGGAGAAGUAGUACAUAAAAGGUUCCUGUGAAAGGGUUUUAAAAUCCCAAAUAUAGUAGGCGUUAAAAACUAUGUAAACAUUUGUUGGGCAUUUGGACACAAUUUUUCUGCAGUUAGGUGACUUUAUAUGGCGUGCUUUUCCUCCCAUGCAAGUCAUUUUAAGCUGAUUUCACAUCAAAAUAAGUUGUGCUCGCUUGCAACUACUAAUACAUUAUUCGAGGAAGAAGCUGGAAAAAAGUUAAAUCAUUACAGUUCAAGAGAUGAAGCUACUUUCCCCCUAAAGUUUGAAAUGACAUAACUUUUUUCCUUACAAUUUUACUCUCAAAUACAUGGUGAAAUGUAAAGCAUAAAAUCUUCAGAGAUACAUGCUGAUGCAAAUGAAACCCUUCUGUAAAACGUAUGGUGUUCGCAGCCCUUGCUCCAAACUUAAACAUUCUUCAUACAUGUUUAGUAUAAUCCACUGGCAGAUUUGUAAAGUAAUUGCUCAUGUAAAUCACCCAGUAACACAUUUCCCCCUUAAGUUCUUUUGUAGGAUUGUCUGAUAAAGCCCUUUAUGAAUAGAAAAGCAAUAAUUCACAUACAAGAGGUGAACUUGUCAUGUUGAAAAUGGAAGGUAAAAUAUAGUUGCACGAUGAGGCACACGCAGUAGGAUCUCUGACACAGGGAAAGGAGAACUGACUGAUUAUGUGUGGGAUUUCCUCUAUACCCUCCUGCAGAAAAUGAGUUCGGAGCAGCAGAGAUGUUUAUAUAUGGAAUGCGAAGGAAAGUAAUAUCAGAAUUUAAAGUUUGUUGCAAAGUCUGCCUCGAUACUUUAGUACCGGGGCCAGGCUCAGUAGCACCUCACUCAUAUGCGCACAGAGAACCUUUCCUGACUUCAUAAAUUUACUUUUUCUGAAGCUGCAAAUGCCAUGGCUGAAUCAGAGUCGAAGAGAUAAAUCGCUUGCAUAACUCUCAAUGAAUGCAGAAUUCUGAAAACUUUAGAAGGAAAGUAUUAAAGAGCACUGGCCACAGAAACCUUUUUAUGAAUAUGACCCUUGUCCCAGAAGAGAGGAGUACAUGAGGUUUAUGAAAGAGUCUACUCAUCAAUCCUUAUCUUUGAUUCCCCUGUCUGGGCUCCACAUACUUGACCGUGGGUCGAUAGCAUUGACCAUCUCAGCUCAGGAAAGGGUCCCAAACGUGUAACAGCAAGGAGUUACAUUAAUAACUACCACUUAACUUAGUCUUGUUCCCUCAGGCCAGCUGCAUGAUUACUGACAGACUUUUUGCACAGUGCUUGUUGGCAUCUAUAUCUGACCUGUGAAUAAACAGAGAACUUCAGUUUCUAGCACUGACAGUCUCUCAUUCCUUG
Long non-coding RNA from Pseudopipra pipra, 1833 nucleotides. RefSeq lists it as uncharacterized. Lineage: Eukaryota; Metazoa; Chordata; Aves; Passeriformes; Pipridae. The record is from RefSeq and is a predicted model, not a curated record. The transcript has 3 exons.